This 465-nucleotide ribosomal RNA is filed under the name uncultured bacterium. RNAcentral describes it as "partial 16S ribosomal RNA". It matches the Rfam family "Bacterial small subunit ribosomal RNA", at positions 28 to 507 of the family's 1533-position model. The record is from RNAcentral.
GACGAACGCUGGCGGCGUGCUUAACACAUGCAAGUCGAACGGAAAGGCCCUGCUUGCAGGGUACUCGAGUGGCGAACGGGUGAGUAACACGUGGGUGAUCUGCCCUGCACUUCGGGAUAAGCCUGGGAAACUGGGUCUAAUACCGGAUAGGAGCCAUUCUUAGUGUGAUGGUUGGAAAGUUUUUUCGGUGUAGGAUGAGCUCGCGGCCUAUCAGCUUGUUGGUGGGGUAAUGGCCUACCAAGGCGGCGACGGGUAGCCGGCCUGAGAGGGUGGACGGCCACAUUGGGACUGAGAUACGGCCCAGACUCCUACGGGAGGCAGCAGUGGGGAAUAUUGCACAAUGGGCGCAAGCCUGAUGCAGCGACGCCGCGUGGGGGAUGACGGCCUUCGGGUUGUAAACUCCGUUCGCUAGGGACGAAGCUUUUUGUGACGGUACCUAGAUAAGAAGCACCGGCUAACUACGUG